GUCAAGUGGGCUGCCAUCUAUGGGGUCGCACAGAGUCCGACACGACUGAAGCGACUUAGCAGCAGCAGCACAGAGUUCACUGUGCUCCACAGUGAGGAGACUACAGCAUAAAAGAUCCCAGUAAAGAACAGAGGUAGGAUUUGGCCCCCGUCUAUAUGACUUUAUCAAAUAGCAUUUAAGAACAAAUGAGUAUGUUAAGAUCCAAAUACAAAAUCUAACUCAUGAAAUUCAAUAGAAUUUACUUAAAUAUUAAGCAAACAGGUGUUUUAUAUUUUAAAAUACUUUACUUGCAUUAAAAACACAGUAUAUUGUAUUUUUACAUUAGUAUAUUAUAGUUUUGCUUAUCCAUUUUACUGUCAAAGGUUUAUAGGGACCUUUCUCUGGACAUGAUGGAUAGUUUAAAAUGGAGCAGCAUCACACAACCUUAUAAGUCAAUUAUACUUCAAUUUAAAAAAAGUUGGAGUAGCGUCUGUGUUUUAUAACAUUUGCUUAUUCAUUCAUUUAAUCAAUUGCAUGUAAGCUAUGUAUGAGACAAUAAAUUGUAUGUAAUUUAUAAUCAGUUUUUAUUCUAUCUUUCAAGUAAACCAUACAUCAUCAUUUUGUGUGGAAAGCUCGGCAGAGUAGACUCUGAAAAAAGGACAUGGACAGCCUUUCUGGGAGACUGACAAAACUUUACUUCUAUAGCGAAUCAUUUUAUACAUGAAAUCAAGGAAAUAGCUUACAAAAACCAAGGUUACACAGAUGGAGCUUGUACAAAAACCAAGGUUACACAGAUGGAGCUUGAGCAUGUACAAAGUUGAUAACAGCAAGUUUACAAAGUUUCAUGAGACACAUAGACUCUAUUUUCUCAGGAUCAGAAGACAGUCUGUUUUCCUCAAGGCAAGCUUGUUAUCCUCAGCACUAUUCUCAUGCAGUCGUAAAAGCCAUAUAUGCAGGAAAUGUUUCCUAGGGCAAAACCUCUAGACAUGCCUGGCGGUCCUGGCCCUUUGCCAGUUCCUUGUGAGGACCUUCUCCUCAAGGCAGUCGCGUAGUUUCCCUCAACAAUUUUGAAGCUGCAAAAAUUUUAAAUACCUGUCUUUAUUCAGCUUUGAGGUGAAUUCAGCUUUGAGAUGCUGGUAUUUAUUCAUACUGUAAAUAAUACUACUGGUAUUUUAUUAUGUGCAAGAUAUUUAGGGGGAAUACAAAGGUAAGAUGAAACGUGUACAAUACAGUAUCUAAAAUAAGGCACAAACAUAAAUAACCAUGAGAAAAGGCACAUGUGUUCUAGCAUGGUUCAGGGUACCAUGUGUAUUAAAAGAGGCAGAUUUUUAUGCAUGUUUUUGAGGCACCUUGCAGUACAAGCUGCAGAUACAAAUUUGCACAGGAGUGAUGAGGGGAAGCAAAAGAAAGAGGGUAGUAUUUGAUUUGAGGGUCAAAAGGUGGGCAGUAGUUCCUCUAGGGAGAUGUGACAGCGGUGACAUUCUAAGCAAAGUGUAAAGGCAGCGUUGACUGGGAGAGGCCGAGGUAGAUGGAAUGAAGGGUCAGUGGGAUGGGUUGGGGCAGGGUAGAACUGGAAGCAAUCAGGUGCAUCCAGGCUGAUUGUAGGGGACACUGACCAGCAGGGAAAGGAGAUGUGCUUCAGUUAGUAGGCAAGAGGGAGCCAUGGAUAGCUUUUGAGCAGAAGAGAGACAGUAUUAAAUUUGCACCAGGAAGACUAAUGUAGACAGAGGAUGUGCAAAAUGGAUUAUUUUAAUCAGAUUAAAAGAAGAGAGCUGGAAAAGAUAUUCAAAGAAGGGACAGAAAGAAGAGGAUGAGAGAGACAUAUUCCAGAGUAAAAAAUGGACAGAUCUAAAAGCUGUUUGGAUGAACUGAGAAUGAGGGGGAGAGAGAGAUAAAAAUUACCUACAUGUGGAAUAGAAUACAUUCUCACAGACAGUGCCUCAAGGACUUACAAAAAGCAUAUAGUUUGUAAAUGAUCUUUAGUAAGAAUCAGUAAUUAUUUUGCAGUUAGGACACAGAAAAAGAAACUUAAGAGACAAACAAGUCUCUUAAAACACCAGUAGUUGGGAGAGGAAUACAAUGCUAGUGUUAGUUUCACAACUUUAUCUCAGACAGUAUGGAAAAGGAAGGAAAUUUAUAUUUUGUUGAAUUUUAAAAUGAGGUAUAUGUAAACUAUAUCUCCAUAAAGUGAAGUAUGUAUAAAUUAUGCCUCAGACAAGUUUAUUUUGAAAAUGUAAGCGAAGAAAAUAAAUCAUAAAAGCACUA
Odocoileus virginianus texanus is the source of this 2244-nucleotide non-coding RNA. NCBI's taxonomy places the organism in Eukaryota, Metazoa, Chordata, Mammalia, Artiodactyla, Cervidae. The record is from RefSeq and is a predicted model, not a curated record.